Molecule: unclassified non-coding RNA, 200 nt
Filed under: Sebacinaceae sp.
Lineage: Eukaryota; Fungi; Basidiomycota; Agaricomycetes; Sebacinales; Sebacinaceae
Description: partial internal transcribed spacer 2
Source: RNAcentral
UUAAGUUCAGCGGGUAGUCCCACCCGAUUUGAGGUCAAAUUGUCAAAGUAAGGUUUGUCCAAGCGGACGGUUGGCAGCCGACAAAGGCGAGCUGAGCGCGGGUUCCUCUGAGAGGGUCCCUGAAACUCCGGUGAAGAUGCUUAUCACACCAGAUGACGCUUUCGCAAGCCGGUCAUACUAACGCAUUUGAGACGUGUCGC